GAAAGUUUAAUUGAACAUACCAAUGAUCUGCCUAGCCUUAUGAAGUUUUAUUCAGAAAUGCUUUGACCAUCGAAACCUUUAUCGAGCCCACACCCCCAAAAAACUCCACUAAAGUACCUUCUUAGUAAUCCAUUAUGUUUUUUAAUCAGCAGUGUGAUGUAAUAUUCAAAGCAUGAUUUUUUUUAAUGUAGUCAAAAUGUAGUUUAUGUGAUAUACUAAGAUUAGUUUUUUUGUAAUAUGUAUAAAAAAUACAUAAUAAAAACUGAAUCUAAACAUUACUUAUUAAGGAUAUACCCUCAGAUAACCCUUAAGUUUAGUAUGAACAACACAAUCUUUCUAAGGUCAAAGGUGUUUAGGGUUCCGUACUGAAAGGGUUACCCGAGACUCGGGACCCGCUAAAACUUUAUUGUCUACUAGCUCGUGCCAGCGGUUUCACCCGCAUCCCGUGGGAACCUCGGCACGAACCCGGAUAAAAAGUAGCCUAUAGCCUUCCUCGAUAAAUGGGCUAUCUAAUACUGAAAGAUUUUUCAAAUCGGAACAGUAGUUCCCGAGAAUAGCGCGUUCAAACAAACAAACUCUUCAACUUUAUAAUAUUAGUAUAGAUUUGUCCGUCCGUCCGUUCAUCUGUCACCAGAUUCUACUCAUGAACCGUCAUAUUUUUGUUGCUGCUAUAACAAAAAAAAAGCUGAAAUAAGGAUAAAAUAAAUAUUUUAGGGGGCUCCCUCCGAUGCCACACACAGACGUGAUAUGUUUGCUCGUUUUAUAGACAUUAAAAUAAUGAUACGGAACACUCCGUGUUCGAGUCCGACUCGUAUUUGGCCGGUUUGUUGAUAAUAUUAUGAGUAGAUAAAUCUAUAUAAACCGCCACAGACGUAUAUCCAUAUCAUUUGAGUUAUAAGUCAAAGUGUGUAAACAUGAAAGUGUAUUUGUUGCUCUGUUUGAUGCUUGUUGCACUUGCAUCGACGGCUUUCGCUGGUCCAAUUAGAACAGGUGUAUGUCCAACUGGGUAUAUACGAGUUGAUAAUCACUGCCUUCCGGAAGAUGAUGCCGAUGAUAUAUAAUAUUCAAGAUGUCAAAUAGUUCUGAAAGCAAGAUUUUUAAUUGAAAUACAUUUAGAACCCA
Helicoverpa armigera (cotton bollworm) is the source of this 1122-nucleotide long non-coding RNA. RefSeq lists it as uncharacterized. Lineage: Eukaryota; Metazoa; Arthropoda; Insecta; Lepidoptera; Noctuidae. The record is from RefSeq and is a predicted model, not a curated record. The transcript has 2 exons.